This 510-nucleotide ribosomal RNA is filed under the name uncultured bacterium. RNAcentral describes it as "bacterial SSU rRNA". It matches the Rfam family "Bacterial small subunit ribosomal RNA", at positions 28 to 517 of the family's 1533-position model. The record is from RNAcentral.
GAUGAACGCUGGCGGCGUGCCUAAUACAUGCAAGUCGAACGCACAGCGAAAGGUGCUUGCACCUUUCAAGUGAGUGGCGAACGGGUGAGUAACACGUGGAUAACCUACCUCAAGGUUGGGGAUAACAUUUGGAAACAGAUGCUAAUACCGAAUAAAACUUAGUAUCGCAUGAUACCAGGUUAAAAAGGCGCUACGGCGUCACCUAGAGAUGGAUCCGCGGUGCAUUAGUUAGUUGGUGGGUAAAGGCUUACCAAGACAAUGAUGCAUAGCCGAGUUGAGAGACUGAUCGGCCACAUUGGGACUGAGACACGGCCCUAAACUCCUACGGGAGGCUGCAGUAGGGAAUCUUCCACAAUGGGCGAAAGCCUGAUGGAGCAACGCCGCGUGUGUGAUGAAAGGCUUUCGGUCGUAAAGCACUGUUGUAUGGGAAGAACAGCUAGAGUAAGGGAAUGACUUAGUUUGACGGUACCAUACCAGAAAGGGAACGGCUAAAUAACGUGCCAGCAGCCG